RNAcentral lists this long non-coding RNA (795 nucleotides) under Brassica rapa (field mustard). Its description in RNAcentral is "long non-coding RNA (BRAP_LNC008407)". Lineage: Eukaryota; Viridiplantae; Streptophyta; Magnoliopsida; Brassicales; Brassicaceae. The record is from RNAcentral.
AGCCAUCUUAGAGAAGCUAGGAACUGACCAGGAACAUCUUUAGUGAGGCUCAAGCAAUGGUACCUGAUACAUUAUCCCAAAGGUGCAUCAGUACCUAUCAAAAACAAGAAAAUGAAUAUCCUGCAUCAUACUUGAUGCACACAAUCUCACAAUUCAAUCAUAAUCAUCUUAAGUAUCUUUUCAAGCACAAGCAAUGAAUAAGAUGAAUGAAAAAGAUUGAAAAGAGUUUUAAAAGUCUAAGGGAACUUCCCUUGUGUUUUUGUGAGUUUCCAAACUCUCUCAAUGCACCAUCUUCAUGGCAUCAUCAACUUCUUGGAAAGGCAGAAUGGAUUGAUCAGCUUCUCCUCAAUCACCUCUCAUUGAAGCCGCAUUGAUGGAGAGCCUUCCUCCUCACUCGCCAAGGCUGCUCUGAACAGCCUCUUGCCAUGGAUCAUAUGCAUUAAGACUCCCCCUCAAGCUUAGAACCGAGACUAGAAGGAGCUAAGCUUGUGAUGAUCCUAUGCAUCUCCAUGGUCUAAUAACUAUCAUCUUUCAUGAUAGCUUUCUUCUUGUGAGUUUACUCUCUUCCUUAACCAGGAACUAGGGUGUUUGAAUCACCAUAGAGAGUCUCACAAGACACACCUCUCAUUGCAUAAUGACCCAUGCUACACUUCCUGUAGACUAAGGACUAGAUAUGUCCAAUGGUAUUAUGCAAUGGCUAUCUCUCAUUGCAUACUCAAUCACACUACACUUCCUGUAGAUUAUGGACUAACAUGUCCUAGUGAUGAUAUGCAAUGGCACAAGACCUUUGUCUUU